UCAAACUUGGUCAUUUAGAGGAAGUAAAAGUCGUAACAAGGUUUCCGUAGGUGAACCUGCGGAAGGAUCAUUAUUGAAUACGAUUGGCACUGAUGCUGGCUCUUUACUGAGCAUGUGCUCGUGUCGUCUAUUUAUCUUCUCUUGUGCACCUUUUGUAGUCAGUGAAUUGGAAACUAUGCGCAGCUUUCAUUAGCUUGCGGUUUGAAGGCUGAAUUAAAACCCUGCCUUUGUUCCUCUGCGCACUCUUUAACUAGAGUUGCGGUCUGGGAGUUGUUAACCCUUCUCCUGCUUCACUGACUAUGUUUUCAUAUACACUAUAAAGUCAUAGAAUGUCAUUUAACUUGAUUGCGCUUGUCGUAGUCGUUAAACCAAUACAACUUUCAGCAACGGAUCUCUUGGCUCUCCCAUCGAUGAAGAACGCAGC
RNAcentral lists this unclassified non-coding RNA (424 nucleotides) under uncultured fungus. Its description in RNAcentral is "partial contains small subunit ribosomal RNA, internal transcribed spacer 1, and 5.8S ribosomal RNA". The stretch from base 1 to 73 matches the Rfam family "Eukaryotic small subunit ribosomal RNA", at positions 1759 to 1831 of the family's 1831-position model. The record is from RNAcentral. Lineage: Eukaryota; Fungi.